Long non-coding RNA from Hyaena hyaena (striped hyena), 447 nucleotides. RefSeq lists it as uncharacterized. Lineage: Eukaryota; Metazoa; Chordata; Mammalia; Carnivora; Hyaenidae. The transcript has 2 exons. The record is from RefSeq and is a predicted model, not a curated record.
CCGUCCUGCCUGCCUGGCCAUGUGGCGCCCACUGGUCCUGCUGCUGCUGCUGCUCCCUCUCGUCCCCGUCCCCCGUGCCACCGCCGCUCCCAUCCCGGAUGCCAAUGCCAAAAGCCAGGACGGUCUGGAAAGCAUGCUUCAAGGUGCUCAAGCCAGAGGAGACGGAGGGCAGUGGGUGCUCCCAAAUCGAGUUCCUCACUCCGGAUGUCCUCCUGGGCUAUGAGGUGGCCGCCAGCAGUGGUGCCGCAGCCCAAAGCCCAGGCGGCUGGCCUGCGGCUCUGUAAGGGGACAUGGGGCCUCCCUCAGUUCAAACAGCUCACCCCCAAGACCCACUUCUUGUCCCUUCUCAGGCUCAGCAGCAGCUGUCGGGGCCGGGGUGGGCGUCAGAGCACUGGCAGGGGACAGUCCCCAGCUCCAUUUAGGAAUAAAGUUCUGUCUUACAGCCAA